GGCGACGUCCAGCCAGAGAACCUCCAGAGAGGGAGGUGACGGGACGCUACGAGGAAGAGCCCUGGGAGAUUAAGUUUCUUGCAAAGAUCGCUGGUGAUUGUAGCUGCUGAGCAGAGAUUCUGGAAAGCACUCCAUUUCUGAGCCUCUAGCAUGGCGGGCCUAAAGAGGCGGGCAAGCCAGGUGUGGCCCGAAGAGCGCGUUGAGCAGGAACAUGGGCUCUACAGCCUCCACCGCAUGUUUGACAUCGUGGGCACCCACCUGACACACAGAGAUGUUCGAGUGCUUUCCUUCCUUUUUGUUGAUGUUAUUGAUGACCAUGAACGAGGACUUAUCCGAAAUGGACGUGACUUCUUGUUGGCACUGGAGCGCCAGGGCCGCUGUGAUGAGAGUAACUUUCGCCAGGUG
This 405-nucleotide long non-coding RNA is filed under the name Rattus norvegicus (Norway rat). RNAcentral describes it as "long non-coding RNA NONRATT008447". The record is from RNAcentral. Lineage: Eukaryota; Metazoa; Chordata; Mammalia; Rodentia; Muridae.